GAUGAACGCUGGCGGCGUGCCUAAUACAUGCAAGUCGAGCGAACAGAUGAGGAGCUUGCUCCUCUGACGUUAGCGGCGGACGGGUGAGUAACACGUGGAUAACCUACCUAUAAGACUGGGAUAACUUCGGGAAACCGGAGCUAAUACCGGAUAAUAUAUUGAACCGCAUGGUUCAAUAGUGAAAGACGGUUUUGCUGUCACUUAUAGAUGGAUCCGCGCCGCAUUAGCUAGUUGGUAAGGUAACGGCUUACCAAGGCAACGAUGCGUAGCCGACCUGAGAGGGUGAUCGGCCACACUGGAACUUAGACACGGGCCAGACUCCUACGGGAGGCAACAGUAGGGAAUCUUCCGCAAUGGGCGAAAGCCUGACGGAGCAACGCCGCGUGAGUGAUGAAGGUCUUCGGAUCGUAAAACUCUGUUAUUAGGGAAGAACAAAUGUGUAAGUAACUAUGCACGUCUUGACGGUACCUAAUCAGAAAGCCACGGCUAACUACGUG
Molecule: ribosomal RNA, 497 nt
Filed under: uncultured bacterium
Lineage: Bacteria
Description: partial 16S ribosomal RNA
Rfam family: Bacterial small subunit ribosomal RNA
Source: RNAcentral